GAAAUUAGUUGAUUUCAUUCAGAACAAUUAUAUUUGACAGAUUAUAGCUCACCUAGUACUUUUUUACCUCUUAAAAUACCUUUAAAUGGCCAAUACAACCCAAAAAAUGCAGUAGGCUAUUUCACUUGUCAGAAAGUGAUUGAAGGGACUGGACAAUACAGCUCCAGCAGACGGCAAUCAGUUUUCGGCAACAGUUCAACGUUUAGUCCUGAUGGUGAGAAACAACGUUUAGUCCUGAUGGUGAGAUGUGGAACAAUGAUGUUGUGGACUUGAGAGUAACUUCUGUUCUUCUGUUGUGGAUGUUGAUGACAUCCACAUCCAGAAAAUAAGAGCAGGCACAGACAGUCCCUGCUACCCCUGUUUACUGUUCCAUUCUUUCAUCCAUAGUCUUUGUCUUUGUAACUUUUAUCUUAGAGGUUUAGGGGGAGCAGGGAGAAGCAGGCCAGAUGAACAUAAUGUGUAAAUGUGUAUGAGAGGAAUGUAAUGUCCGUGUUUGAUGCUGGUCUGACCCCCUCUCUUCUUUCAGGGUGGAGCCUGCUGGAGUCCGAUGGUUGAAACCAGGUCUGAGGAAGUAUUCCUGUGAACUCACACUCGACAUAAACACAGCAAAUCAAAAUACCAAGCUGUCUGACAACAACAGGAAGGCGACACAUGUGCAGGAGAAUCAGUCAUAUCCUGAUCAUCCAUACAGGUUUGACUUCUGGUCUCAGGUGAUGUGUACAACUGGUCUGACUGGUCGCUGUUACUGGGAGGUCGAGUGGAGACAAAAAGUUACUGUAGCAAUGAGUUACAGAGGAAUCAGCAAGAGGAGAAGCUCUGAAUACAAUUAUUUUGGAGGGAAUGAUAAGUCCUGGAGACUGGACUGCUAUCCAGAAGGUUACUCUGCCAAUCACAAUAACAGAGAAACAUCCAUCUCCUCCUCCUCUGUCUCUAACAGAGUAGGAGUGUAUCUGGACUGGCCUGCUGGCUCUCUGUCCUUCUACGGAGUCUCCUCUGACACACUGAUCCACCUCCACACCUUCAACACCACAUUCACUGAACCUCUUUAUCCUGGCUUUGGGUUCUGGUUCAACCCUUAUUCUUCAGCGUCUCUGUGUUCUCUGUAGGAGGGAGAAUCUGGUCCUGUUGGAGAACAGAUCAGUUGAGCCGUACAGGAUCACAGUUGCAGAGGUCUUUCAGGUUCUUCUUAUAAAUUCAUCAAUGAAUCAAAAUGAUUCCUCAUUUAUAUUGUUAACAUCGUCCACUUCUGGUCCUUUAAAGAUAAAAGCUCUGAUCAUUAAAUGAUGGAAAUGAUGUUGACUUGUACCUUCUGCCCCUUUAAUAUCCUUCUGAUGUUUUUGAAUGUGGUUGUUUUAUCUUAACAUUUAUAAUUUUUUUGCUUGCUGUAUGUCAUAUCUAUAUAUCUCUAUAUCUAUAUCUCUAUAUCUCUAUAUCUAUAUAUCUCUAUAUCUCUAUAUCUAUAUCUCUAUAUAUUUAUCGAUCGAUCUAUCUAUAUAUCUAUAUAGCUAUAUGUAUAUAGCUGAGCAUGUGUUGUGUAUCAUAAAAGGGCUAAAUGUCCAAUUGUUAACAAAAUAAAGAAUGUCAGAGCUCUUCUUUAUUUGUAAAGAGACCAGUUUUUACAUUUUAGGUGGAUCUCAGAAUGAGGGACUGACUGAACCUGCAACAAGGGAUACAAUUGUCAGAAACUACUUUUGAUGAUGGUGUCAUUGUAAUUAACGUACAGUAAUAAGUUAGUUUUUUAGUUUUUACCUGUUAAGCCUUUCAGUACAGUAAUGUCUACUCUAUUACUGUAAAGUUUAAACAAAUCAAGUGCAAAAUAUAAAUAAAUGUGUGUAUAAGCUGGUACAUGAUAGAAAAUUUUAUUAUGUGUUAUAUUAUUUGACAGAUUCUGAAGUUUGAUUACAUUUUGUUCUGAAAAUCCCUGCAGCAGGUUCAACAUGUGCUGGAAAUCAGGUGUCCACAUACUUUUGGCCAUAUAGUGUAUUACAGCUUGAGACAUUUAGUCACUGUGUUUUGCCCUUAAAGUGUUUGCGGCCUUCACAUUUAUGAAACUGUGCAGAUUGUAGAAUUCUUGUGUUUUCAGCUCAAAUAAAACACUUUGUAAAGUAAA
This is a long non-coding RNA of Micropterus dolomieu (smallmouth bass), 2110 nucleotides long. RefSeq lists it as uncharacterized. The transcript is spliced from 2 exons. NCBI's taxonomy places the organism in Eukaryota, Metazoa, Chordata, Actinopteri, Centrarchiformes, Centrarchidae. The record is from RefSeq and is a predicted model, not a curated record.